Long non-coding RNA from Monodelphis domestica (gray short-tailed opossum), 778 nucleotides. RefSeq lists it as uncharacterized. Lineage: Eukaryota; Metazoa; Chordata; Mammalia; Didelphimorphia; Didelphidae. The record is from RefSeq and is a predicted model, not a curated record.
UGAAAGCCACCAGUGCCUGAUUUCUGCCUGUGCUAAGUCUCAGCAAGCAGAAGCAAUGGCAGGAGUGCAGCAACCCUAAGUGUGGAGAGUUUGUACAUUGCAGCUGUGGAAUCCUCGGUUCUCCUUUUAUUUAUUUAUUUUAGAAGUACAAGCAUCUGACAGGAUGAAAAGCACUAGCAGCUUCGGACUGAAGAGAGCUUGGGGUUUGCAUUAGGAUCAAGUAGUUGUUCAGAAUCCUGGCUUCUCUCUGUUGUAUAUGUUUCAGUUUGAAGGAAAUUGAUGAAAUUCAAGAACUCAUCACUUUUUCUGUUGGUGUUGGAAGUUUUCUGCUGUACAGUCUCAUUUUGGGCUGCUAGAGAUCUGUACUGGAUAACCGAAGGGCAGCAACACUUUCUUUUGUAGUGUGUGUUAGAGAUAUUUUCAGAUAAGUUUACUUUCUAGCACAAUACUUCAUGGAUUUCUUUCUCCAGUACUCCAAAUAAACAACUUUUCCCUUUCAAAUGGGCAAGGGUCACUCUCUUCAGCACCAUGGAGAGCUCAGGACAGCAGCAAAUCCUAUGGGAGUCUGGCCAGGACAAAAAAUCUGACAAUGUGAAGAAACUUAAGAUGAUAAAGGUGACUUGCCCGCAGUUACCCAUCUUGUAAAUGUCUAAGAAAGGAAUUGAAUCAUGUCUUUCUGACUCCCAAAUAAAGCAGCCUGUCUUGUUCUGGUCUUGCCAUUUCUGAAAAUAAGGAGAAUUUCCACAAAUAAAACUGUUUGAUGGGAAGAAAUAGGUAA